This 164-nucleotide ribosomal RNA is filed under the name Delphinium grandiflorum. RNAcentral's name for it is "5.8S ribosomal RNA". It matches the Rfam family "5.8S ribosomal RNA". From Rfam's summary of the family: 5.8S ribosomal RNA (5.8S rRNA) is a component of the large subunit of the eukaryotic ribosome. It is transcribed by RNA polymerase I as part of the 45S precursor that also contains 18S and 28S rRNA. Lineage: Eukaryota; Viridiplantae; Streptophyta; Magnoliopsida; Ranunculales; Ranunculaceae. The record is from RNAcentral.
CGAACGACUCCCGGCAACGGAUAUCUCGGCUCUUGCAUCGAUGAAGAACGUAGCGAAAUGCGAUACUUGGUGUGAAUUGCAGAAUCCCGUGAACCAUCGAGUUUUUGAACGCAAGUUGCGCCCGAGGCCACUAGGCCGAGGGCACGCCUGCCUGGGCGUCACAC